AUUGAACGCUGGCGGCAUGCCUUACACAUGCAAGUCGAACGGCAGCACGGGGGCAACCCUGGUGGCGAGUGGCGAACGGGUGAGUAACACAUCGGAACGUGCCCAGUAGUGGGGGAUAGCUCGGCGAAAGCCGGAUUAAUACCGCAUACGACCUACGGGUGAAAGCGGGGGAUCGCAAGACCUCGCGCUAUUGGAGCGGCCGAUGUCAGAUUAGGUUGUUGGUGGGGAAAGGCCUACCAAGCCGACGAUCUGUAGCUGGUCUGAGAGGACGACCAGCCACAGUGGAACUGAGAGACGGUCCACACACCUACGGGUGGCAGCAGUCGAGGAUCUUGGACAAUGGGCGCAAGCCUGAUCCAGCGACGCCGCGUGAGGGAUGAAGGUCUUCGGA
RNAcentral lists this ribosomal RNA (391 nucleotides) under uncultured bacterium. Its description in RNAcentral is "bacterial SSU rRNA". It matches the Rfam family "Bacterial small subunit ribosomal RNA", at positions 29 to 422 of the family's 1533-position model. The record is from RNAcentral.